Molecule: ribosomal RNA, 710 nt
Filed under: uncultured bacterium
Lineage: Bacteria
Description: bacterial SSU rRNA
Rfam family: Bacterial small subunit ribosomal RNA
Source: RNAcentral
AGCGGCGGACGGGUGAGUAACGCGUGGGUAACCUGCCCUGUACACACGGAUAACAUACCGAAAGGUAUGCUAAUACGAGAUAAUAUACUUUUAUCGCAUGGUAGAAGUAUCAAAGCUCCGGCGGUACAGGAUGGACCCGCGUCUGAUUAGCUAGUUGGUAAGGUAACGGCUUACCAAGGCGACGAUCAGUAGCCGACCUGAGAGGGUGAUCGGCCACAUUGGAACUGAGACACGGUCCAAACUCCUACGGGAGGCAGCAGUGGGGAAUAUUGCACAAUGAGCGAAAGCCUGAUGCAGCAACGCCGCGUGAGCGAUGAAGGCCUUCGGGUCGUAAAGCUCUGUCCUCAAGGAAGAUAAUGACGGUACUUGAGGAGGAAGCCCCGGCUAACUACGUGCCAGCAGCCGCGGUAAUACGUAGGGGGCUAGCGUUAUCCGGAAUUACUGGGCGUAAAGGGUGCGUAGGUGGUUUCUUAAGUCAGAGGUGAAAGGCUACGGCUCAACCGUAGUAAGCCUUUGAAACUGGGAAACUUGAGUGCAGGAGAGGAGAGUGGAAUUCCUAGUGUAGCGGUGAAAUGCGUAGAUAUUAGGAGGAACACCAGUUGCGAAGGCGGCUCACUGGACUGUAACUGACACUGAGGCACGAAAGCGUGGGGAGCAAACAGGAUUAGAUACCCUGGUAGUCCACGCCGUAAACGAUGAGUACUAGCCGU